RNAcentral lists this transfer RNA (69 nucleotides) under Pediculus schaeffi. Its description in RNAcentral is "tRNA-Met". The record is from RNAcentral. Lineage: Eukaryota; Metazoa; Arthropoda; Insecta; Psocodea; Pediculidae.
AUAAAGAUAGGCUAUAAUUUAUUAAGCCAUUAGGUUCAUAUCCUAAGGAAGCAUUUUACGCUCUUUAUU